GGGCCCGCACAAGCGGUGGAGCAUGUGGUUUAAUUCGACGCAACGCGAAGAACCUUACCCAGGCUUGAAGUGCGAGUGAUCAUCGGUGAAAGCCGACUUCCGCAAGGACACUCGUAGAGGUGCUGCAUGGCUGUCGUCAGCUCGUGUCGUGAGAUGUUGGGUUAAGUCCCGCAACGAGCGCAACCCUUGUCUGCUGUUGCCAUCAGUUCGGCUGGGCACUCUGCGGAGACUGCCGGUGAUAAACCGGAGGAAGGUGGGGAUGACGUCAAGUCAGCAUGGCCUUUAUGUCUGGGGCUACACACGUGCUACAAUGGCCGGUACAGAGCGCUGCGAUCCCGCGAGGGGGAGCUAAUCGCACAAAGCCGGUCUCAGUUCGGAUUGCAGGCUGCAACCGCCUGCAUGAAGUUGGAAUCGCUAGUAA
RNAcentral lists this ribosomal RNA (421 nucleotides) under uncultured bacterium. Its description in RNAcentral is "bacterial SSU rRNA". It matches the Rfam family "Bacterial small subunit ribosomal RNA", at positions 917 to 1341 of the family's 1533-position model. The record is from RNAcentral.